AGAAUUUUAAGUUAAACAAACUAAUAGCCUUCAAAGCUAUAAAUAAGACCGCCCCUUAAAUUCUG
This 65-nucleotide transfer RNA is filed under the name Glycera fallax. RNAcentral describes it as "tRNA-Trp". Lineage: Eukaryota; Metazoa; Annelida; Polychaeta; Phyllodocida; Glyceridae. The record is from RNAcentral.